Oncorhynchus tshawytscha (Chinook salmon) is the source of this 512-nucleotide long non-coding RNA. The record is from Ensembl. Lineage: Eukaryota; Metazoa; Chordata; Actinopteri; Salmoniformes; Salmonidae.
CCUGGUUCCCAGUAACAACAGGUAAAGGCUGGUUCUCUGAGACUCAUAAUGAAUACACCCCCUGGUUCCCAGUAACACCAUGUAGAGGCUGGUUCUCUGAGACUCAUAAUGAAUACACCCCCUGGUUCCCAGUAACACCAUGUAAAGGCUGGUUCUCUGAGACUCAUAAUGAAUACACCCCCUGGUUCCCAGUAACACCAUGUAAAGGCUGGUUCUCUGAGACUCAUAAUGAAUACACCCCCUGGUUCCCAGUAACACCAUGUAGAGGCUGGUUCCCAGUAACACCAUGUAAAGGCUGGUUCUCUGAGACUCAUAAUGAAUACACCCCCUGGUUCCCAGUAACACCAUGUAGAAGCUGGUUCUCUGAGACUCAUAAUGAAUACACCCCCUGGUUCCCAGUAACACCAUGUAAAGGCUGGUUCUCUGAGACUCAUAAUGAAUACACCCCCUGGUUCCCAGUAACACCAUGUAGAAGCUGGUUCUCUGAGACUCAUAAUGAAUACACCCCCAGG